GAGUGAGCGGCUGCGCGGCUGCUGGGAGGGUGAAUGAAGCCAGGAGGAGGGGAAGGAGGAGGCGGCGGCGGCGGAGGAGGCGCUGCGGGGAUUGGGAUGCGCCCUGGAGCCCCGCUGCUCGUUCACUCUGGGCCGGGCCGGAGACUCCGCCACUCCCGCGGCCGCCGCCGCCGCCGCCUCCUACGUGGUUCCAGCGCUGCGAGCAGGCCGGUCCCGCAGGGGGCAGGGAAGGGGCCGGCCGGGCGGAGCGAGAGAAGCACCGUGCAGCAAGUCGCGAGGCUGGUCCGCGCACGCCGGGGAUUGGUUUGCCAUCCUUGUGAGACGGUCUCCUGCUCCACGGCCACUCCAGGGAGGUGCGCCCCAUAUCAGGUCACAGACAGUGCUGGUGGACAUCUCCUCUUGCCCCAAGACCUUCGUUGGAAGUCCACGGGACUUGGUGUCUUUGCCGGUCAAAGUAGAUAUGAGCUCGCCAGGAGGCAUAAUGCGUCACCAUUUUAUUCUGGGCCACCCUAA
This 513-nucleotide long non-coding RNA is filed under the name Suricata suricatta (meerkat). RNAcentral's name for it is "lncRNA (ENSSSUG00005007489.1)". Lineage: Eukaryota; Metazoa; Chordata; Mammalia; Carnivora; Herpestidae. The record is from RNAcentral.